This is an RNA transcript of Dromaius novaehollandiae (emu), 4490 nucleotides long. It is a transcript of the gene named nuclear factor interleukin-3-regulated protein, with no coding region annotated. The transcript has 4 exons. NCBI's taxonomy places the organism in Eukaryota, Metazoa, Chordata, Aves, Casuariiformes, Dromaiidae. The record is from RefSeq and is a predicted model, not a curated record.
CAACUGCUGCAGUUUUUUAGCACUUCAGAGCUUCUAGAGAUCCAGAUAAAAUAGCUUUAGCGAACCAUCAUUCUCCUCAGAAUGAAUCAAGUGGGUUUAAAAUAGGGAUUACCUGCGUGGCUUAGUACAGCUGAGUCCCACCCCAAAUCUCAAUCUUUCCCGGAAUUAGUUUUCAUUAGGCUACCUCAGCUCACUUAGAUUUUCUUGCCCCUCAGGCUCUCGGCUCUUACUCAGGUACGUCUCUACUACCCAGCCCCUCCCGAUGACGUUUAUCCUACCAAGAGCUGGCUUCCUCCGCCUAUGGGCUCCUGGAUCUCUUCUUUUAAAGACUUCAGGAUUAUUUUGCUUUUUUCCUGUUUGUUUAUUUUAAUAGGCAGUCACUGCGAUGGCCAAGCUUCAGUGCAUUCAUGCACUCUGGCAAUAAAUGGUUUGCAAAAUGGUGUGGUUAAGGCUGGAGAUGUGAGACACUUUAAUGACUGGCACAGGUUUGUGGAAGGAUUUUUCCACAUCUUGAAAAUCCUUUACAUGAGCCUGACUAAAUUUUGUUCGAAACCUUACUUCCCCACAGAUUUUGCUGUGAAUUUGAAAAUGCCAAGAUCCCAAACCAAGCACUUUGUUUGUUAUGACUGAGUUGUGCUCACUAAAGAGGGAAAGAAAUGAUAUGGAGGCAUGAAUUUAGGGGAAAUGAUGCAAAAUGAAAGCAGCAGGUUCUGCAUAGUCAGGGCAGGAGCUGCAACUCUCAGGCAGAAAGCAAGAAAGGGGAACUCGGAGUGAGAAUAAGCCCGCUUGGGUUGCGAGUUACAUUUUUGGAGAAUAACAAUAUCCUUCAAUAAAGUAGCCCAGUACAGUGGCUGUUUUAUUGUGCGAACCCAUGUUCAUGUCUUUUCUUCUGUAUUUGGACGGCGUAAUCAAAUACCCCUUCUCUGCGUAUUCCCGAGAUAAGGAGGUUUUCUAGGAGCUGCUUUCAGGGCACAAUAAAGAGAGAGGGUACUUCACGAGCCUCCAAACAUUUGAAGGCUUUAACCGAGCUUGAACCAGACUGUCUGGAACAUGUCCAUCACCAGUUAAAGCUGUAAUGAAAGAGAUUUGAAAAGAUAUGGCUGCUUUCUUUGUGUUUUCAGAUGAAAAUACUCCUUGGCUUUCCUUUGUGCAGGAGUGUUUGGCCAGAACUCUUAGGGGAAAACUGAGAAGCCAAACCACAUGCUAGUUUACUGAGAUACUACUAGGUGAAUGAAUAAAUAAUGGGUAGAUAAAUAAUUGAAUCUCAGAUUUUUUUUUUGAUGUUGUAAACAAAGAUUGAAAGUAGUCAUUGGGGAAAUCUUACUCUUCUUAUCUAGUACUCAGGAUUCAUUCCAUUAGAAGUAUUUUCUUCUGAAGUGACUAUAUGAAUAAGCACAUAUUAGCUGUAUUAAUUCCGUCUGUAUUUCACACCUGUAGAUCAUGUGAGCUGGGUGUUGUUUUGGCAAGUACAGUAUAUCCUCGGCUCAAGGCAGUUCUAAACAUUAACCUGUCAGCCAGUCUUUCUAUCUGCCCUUAUUAAGGGCUUAUAAAAAAUAAAUAAGAAUAUAAUUCUACUGUGUUCCAAUACCAAUUAAUGCAAAAUUUUGCAUAUUAUAUUCUGAGGUCUGAGUACAGUAGUGGCAGAGAGGAACUAUUGGGUUGCAAAGCCUACAUUGCUGUGAGUUUCUUCGAUGAGUAGGUGGGUCCACAGGCCUUUCCUCCCUCUGCAUCACAACAAAGCCGAAUUUCCUUGUGCUCUUUCUACUUUCCGCUCGAAAGGAGGGAGCUGCUGAGACCUGUCCUUCUGGGGACCAGGUUCCUGCUCUGCCUGGCUGAGAAGCAGAACUUGGCUUCCAGCUCCAGCAGCUCAGUCGAGAGCUCCAGCCUUCACCUCUCUUCUGAGCUGAAUUUUUCUGUCUGCUGCGGUACCCGUGCAUAGUUAAAUAUUCAUAUGCUCUUUGCAUUAAAAUGUAUUUGAGAUCUGUUAGGCAAGUCACUUAACAUUUCUCUUCCAGUUAUAUCCAUUGGUAAAAUGAAGAUUAGAUCUUUGGGAACAGCUUGAGUUUGAGCGUUGGCCCGUCCUGCAAGAAGGGAUCCCUAAUAGUGGUGGUAGCCCAUUCCGGGCUGCCCUGAUUUCUGCCAAGGUGACUCUGUCUGACACCCUCUGACUUUAAUCUCCAUGUCACAGCACAAGAUGAAGGUAAACCUGUAGCCCGAGGCAUUGCGUGGGAGGAGGUUUUACAGUCACGUUAGCAUGUAAUCUCGGGCACCCAUGCCCUAGUGUUGGUGGUAUGAGCGCUCUCGAGCCGUGCCAUAGCUCUCCUGCCGCUCCCCAACCCUGCGGAGUCCCUGUCACCGCACGGGAACUCAAUGCCGGGGAGGAUGGGGACCGAAGUUAAGGCUGGUCCCUCCUAGGCCCUCUCGUAUUUAGGUAUGGUCUUCCCUUUGCAAGACGCUGUGUACUUCCAUUUACAGCUUGCAGUUCCCCUUUACAGGAAAGGGUCCGAGCAGAGCGCUUUUGAAGGCAGAGGGAUGAACUCAUACUUAAGAUCUGCGGCAUCGCUAGGUAUUGUAAUUCCCUGCCCCUGUAACUGAUGGCAAGUCUUCUAAUGAUGGCAGAGGAAACAAUCUCUUGAGUUUCCGGAAGGUUGACCAUGGGCGCUGUGCUGCAGGAGCUGGGACUUCUAUUUCUUAAAUGGCAGUGUGGAAGUAAGAGUGAAAAUAUUUUUCAAAGCAGUAAAAUAUAAACUAAACUCAGUGGGAAAGGGAAAUGUGUGCUAAUAUACAGUGCAUAUAUAUGUGUGUGUGUGUGCACAUGCGUGUGCAUGAGUAUAUAUCUAUAUGUACUUCUGUAGUGUGUGUGUUUCAGGCAGCAAAUCACACACCCAGAAAUGUUGGCUCCUCUUUAGGCAUAACAUGUUGAAACAGGGUAUUUCUCUCCCUAACUAGAAAGAAAACAAAAUUCCACUUUGGACUGGACUGGACUCCUUUGCUCUGUUCCCGGACAUUGUUGUCUUUUCUCUGUAGUAUUUGCUAUUCUCGUUUCCUUCAAGUAUGCCUUGUCUCUUCACAAAGCAAUUUGGGACAACUUGGAUGAAAGCCACCAGAUAGAAAUACACUUUUAAGGGAAAGAAAAAAAAACAUUAAAAGGGUUGUAGACAGUUUCAUCCUCUUAGAACAAAGUGCUUAUAACAGUGUGUUUGGAAAACCUAUUGAGCCUAUGGCACUUACUUCCAGGAAAGAAAGACAAUGUCUUUUGUGCUGCUCACAUUUAUCUGCCAAGACUCUUUUAUGAGAGAUCACAGGAGACCUUUCUUUCAAGGCUGUAGAUUAUACAAACAGACUAUUUUGUAUAAUCUUAAAGGUGAACUAAGCGGGAGCUCAAAGUGCUGAAAAUCAGGCCAAUUUUGCUCAGAUGCUUCACUUGCGGGUCCUCAAACAAUUGCAGAUUUGGCUCGACUCUUUAAAAUCUCUUGCGAGGGCUGCUCCAGAUCAGCAUCUGUCUUCUGAUAUUUUUUUCCAGACUUUUUUUCAGCUGCAAACCUCAGGAUAUUUAGCCACUCUUUCGGUGCUGCAUGGGAGCAGCAGCACCGCGGGCGUCACGGGCCGCUGCUGGGUUCACGGCUGUCUCGUAAGCAAGCGAGCCUGUGUGUGCAGCAGAUAUAAUGAGAAGAGGUGAGUUGGAGCAACUGCGCAAAGCAUUCCUGCCGGCUCGCGCUCGUCUCCCUUAGUAUGCAGGUCAUGUGCAAUGCAUGGUGCAGAGUCACUGAUGUAAUUGCCAAGUUUCCAGCAUCAUGUUAUGAUUCAUCUCUAACGAGUCAGUUAUCGGAAACCGAGCAAAUAACAGCCCUAUUUGAGAUCAGUUAAGACACAAGGAGAUCCAACAUCAUUUUGUUGCGUCUACAGAAGAACAAAUCUGCAUGGUCUUGGGAUCGCUGAAAAUUAGUAUCUUCCUUGUCAGAAAGAAAAGGAUAAUCUCACAAGACUUUUUAAGAUGUUCCUGGCAGUAAGGUCAAAGGAGGAGCUGAGAGAUUUCUGUUUGAACACGUGACAGUUCACAUAGGCGCCCAACAAGCCUGGGAUAUUCAUCUGCUGUUGCCUUUAGGAUUCUAGGGAUCUCUUUCAGAAAGCAAAGUGGAGAUACUGAAGAUGGAUGUUGGCGUGCACUGAACUUUGAAAAUCUGCCCCCUUGGUAGCUAUGACAACUAGUGAUGGAUUCUGGGGUAUCACAAGCAAAUAUGAAAGCCAUGACAGCGAAGGCACUCUACAAAUACCUCAAAUUUGGGUCCAAGUGUGUUCACAUCUCAGAGGCUGUGUUUGUCUGUGAGAGCCUGAAAGGCUUCAAAAGAAGUUGGGGGAAAAGGAAAAAAGAAAAAAGCAUCGUGUGAAAUGAGGUUUGCUUUUAGGGCCCUGAACUGUUUUUCUGUAUGCGACUCCACCCGCUCGGUGCGAGACUCUCCUUUCAGUGGAGAAGCUGGACAGGGACGUCC